RNAcentral lists this transfer RNA (89 nucleotides) under Pirellula sp. RNAcentral's name for it is "tRNA-Ser". It matches the Rfam family "tRNA". Rfam says of the family: Transfer RNA (tRNA) molecules are approximately 80 nucleotides in length. Their secondary structure includes four short double-helical elements and three loops (D, anti-codon, and T loops). RNAcentral also lists the same sequence under 4 other names. The record is from RNAcentral. Lineage: Bacteria; Pseudomonadati; Planctomycetota; Planctomycetia; Pirellulales; Pirellulaceae.
GGAGAGGUGGCAGAGUGGUCGAAUGCGCCGGUUUGCUAAAUCGGUGACCGGGGAAACCUGGUUCGCAGGUUCGAAUCCUGUCCUCUCCG